RNAcentral lists this ribosomal RNA (254 nucleotides) under uncultured bacterium. RNAcentral describes it as "partial 16S ribosomal RNA". It matches the Rfam family "Bacterial small subunit ribosomal RNA", at positions 524 to 776 of the family's 1533-position model. The record is from RNAcentral.
GACGUAGGGUGCAAGCGUUGUCCGGAUUUACUGGGCGUAAAGAGCGCGUAGGCGGUCUGUUAAGUGUAGAGUGAAAUCUCCAGGGCUCAACCCGGAAACUGCUCUGCAUACUGGCAGACUGGAGGGACUGAGAGGUGAAUGGAAUUCCUGGUGUAGCGGUGAAAUGCGUAGAUAUCAGGAGGAACACCGGUGGCGAAGGCGGGUCUCUGGGCCGAUACUGACGCUGAGGAGCGAAAGCGUGGGGAGCGAACAGG